Molecule: ribosomal RNA, 601 nt
Filed under: uncultured organism
Description: bacterial SSU rRNA
Rfam family: Bacterial small subunit ribosomal RNA
Source: RNAcentral
GGGAGUACAUCAGCGGCAGACGGGUGAGUAACACGUAGAUAACCUGCCCUCAAGACGGGGACAACCGGUGGAAACAGCGGCUAAUACCCGAUAUGCUCACAGGAUCGGGAGAUCGAGUGAGGAAAGCGCCCCUUCGGGGGAGAGUGUUUGAGGAGGGAUCUGCGGCCCAUCAGCUAGUUGGUGAGGUAACGGCUCACCAAGGCGAAGACGGGUAGGGGGUGUGAGAGCAUGGCCCCCCACAAUGGGACUGAGACACGGCCCAUACUCCUACGGGAGGCAGCAGCGGGGAAUAUUGCGCAAUGGACGGAAGUCAGACGCAGCGACGCCGCGUGGGUGAGGAAGGCCUUCGGGUUGUAAAGCCCUUUUCAGGGGAGCGAGAAAGGACGGUACCCUUGGAAUAAGCGUCGGCUAACUACGUGCCAGCAGCCGCGGUAAGACGUAGGACGCAAGCGUUAUCCGGAUUUACUGGGCGUAAAGCGCCUGUAGGCGGUCAAGUAAGUCGGAUGUGAAAGCCCCGUGCUCAACGCGGGGAAGCCAUUCGAUACUGCGUGACUAGAGAACGGACGAGGGAAACGGAAUUUAUGGUGUAGCGGUAAAAUGC